Molecule: ribosomal RNA, 498 nt
Filed under: uncultured bacterium
Lineage: Bacteria
Description: partial 16S ribosomal RNA
Rfam family: Bacterial small subunit ribosomal RNA
Source: RNAcentral
AUUGAACGCUGGCGGCAUGCCUUACACAUGCAAGUCGAACGGUAACAGGUCUUCGGAUGCUGACGAGUGGCGAACGGGUGAGUAAUACAUCGGAACGUGCCUAGUAGUGGGGGAUAACUACUCGAAAGAGUGGCUAAUACCGCAUGAGAUCUACGGAUGAAAGCAGGGGAUCGCAAGACCUUGUGCUACUAGAGCGGCCGAUGGCAGAUUAGGUAGUUGGUGGGAUAAAAGCUUACCAAGCCGACGAUCUGUAGCUGGUCUGAGAGGACGAUCAGCCACACUGGGACUGAGACACGGCCCAGACUCCUACGGGAGGCAGCAGUGGGGAAUUUUGGACAAUGGGCGAAAGCCUGAUCCAGCAAUGCCGCGUGUAAGAUGAAGGCCUUCGGGUUGUAAACUGCUUUUGUACGGAACGAAAAGCCCCGGGUUAAUACCCUGGGGUCAUGACGGUACCGUAAGAAUAAGCACCGGCUAACUACGUGCCAGCCGCCGCGGUAA